GACGAACGCUGGCGGCGUGCUUAACACAUGCAAGUCGAACGGAAAGGCCCUGCUUUUGUGGGGUGCUCGAGUGGCGAACGGGUGAGUAACACGUGAGUAACCUGCCCUUGACUUUGGGAUAACUUCAGGAAACUGGGGCUAAUACCGGAUAGGAGCUCCUGCUGCAUGGUGGGGGUUGGAAAGUUUCGGCGGUUGGGGAUGGACUCGCGGCUUAUCAGCUUGUUGGUGGGGUAGUGGCUUACCAAGGCUUUGACGGGUAGCCGGCCUGGGAGGGUGACCGGCCACAUUGGGACUGGGCUACGGCCCAGCCUCCUACGGGAGGCAGCGGUGGGGAAUAGUGCACUAUGGGCGGAAGCCUGAUGCAGCAACGCCGCGUGCGGGAUGACGGCCUUCGGGUUGUAUACCGCUUUCGCCUGUGACGAAGCGUGAGUGACGGUAAUGGGUAAAGAAGCACCGGCUAACUACGUG
This 468-nucleotide ribosomal RNA is filed under the name uncultured bacterium. Its description in RNAcentral is "partial 16S ribosomal RNA". It matches the Rfam family "Bacterial small subunit ribosomal RNA", at positions 28 to 507 of the family's 1533-position model. The record is from RNAcentral.